Molecule: long non-coding RNA, 571 nt
Filed under: Pan troglodytes (chimpanzee)
Lineage: Eukaryota; Metazoa; Chordata; Mammalia; Primates; Hominidae
Description: long non-coding RNA NONPTRT008778
Source: RNAcentral
UGUUAGUAGAAUUUCAGGCAUCUAAGUAGUCAAGGAAACCCCCUCUCCAUGCUGUUCAAUGGACUUUUCCUGAGCCCCUUACACAUCUUUCCAUUUGCUAACUCUACCUGCUGAUACUGAUGCUUUAUCUAAUCAUCAAUGGGAUUCCUCUUGAAAUGGAAGGCAAAGUUCAACCCUGAAUGUGUGCUGGCCUGGCUCCUUCGCAGUGACAAAAACAUGCAACUGUCUCUUCUUUACCUCUCUGGCUCAUCAGGGAGGAACUGUUUACGUGCCUUUGUUUCCCAGCCUGUGAAAGGAAGAUAACACUUGCUCCAACAUGCUUUUCAGCGGGUGAUGUGAAGAUAAAUGUGAUAACGUCUACAAAGUCCUCCAAAUUCUCGGGAUGAAAUGUGCUAUGUAAAUGGAACACAGCCCCGUUAUGAUUGAAGUUUAAUGCAGCAGCUCUCAGGCCUAUACAGGGAAUGCAGUCUGGCUGGAAGAUGAUGGAACUGAGGCAUGAUGAAAGCCCCUCGUAAGUAAGGGAGCUGGGAUUUGCUCCCAUGCUCCUAGCCACUUCAGUCUAUCGCCCUUC